AGAAUAUUAUAUUUGUACUAUCGAAUAAAUAAAUAAAUAAUUAUUGGAUAUACUGACAGUGAAAUUUUUUAACUCCAUAAAUAGGGUUAAGAUGGUGACACUUGUCUCAUUUUUUUUUAAAUUAGUUUAUUUAUUUUUAAAUGUACUACAACUUCAUGGCCUUCAAGCAAUGGCUUUGGCAACAAGAUAAUCUAAUCUCUUCGGAAAGGUAGGUAAACUCGACAUAAGCUAUGUUCAGAUCUUGAUGUUAAGACCGGUGCAAUGGGCGAAGACCUUCAGAGGCAGGGUAAGAGUCUCCCUUUUUUAUAGCCCGGAGACGGGACUACUCAAGCACUUUAACCGAUGCGUGGGCUUGACCAAUCUCCUUUAGGAUUGUCUCCAUCUUAAUUCCACAUAUGAAGUUAAAAAACUAUACUAUCAAUGUAUUUGAUAA
RNAcentral lists this long non-coding RNA (433 nucleotides) under Durio zibethinus. RNAcentral describes it as "long non-coding RNA (DZIB_LNC001834)". Lineage: Eukaryota; Viridiplantae; Streptophyta; Magnoliopsida; Malvales; Malvaceae. The record is from RNAcentral.